GAUGAACGCUGGCGGUAUGCUUAACACAUGCAAGUCGAACGGUCUUUUAGGAGAUAGUGGCGGACGGGUGAGUAACACGUGAGAACCUACCUUCAGAACGGGGAUAACAGUUGGAAACGACUGCUAAUACCCGAUGUGCCGAAAGGUGAAAGAUUUAUCGUCUGAAGAAGGGCUCGCGGCUGAUUAGCUAGUUGGAAGUGUAAUGGACUCCCAAGGCAACGAUCAGUAACUGGUCUGAGAGGAUGAGCAGUCACACUGGAACUGAGAAACGGUCCAGACUCCUACGGGAGGCAGCAGUGGGGAAUUUUCCGCAAUGGGCGAAAGCCUGACGGAGCAAUACCGCGUGAGGGAGGAAGGUUCUUGGAUUGUAAACCUCUUUUCUAGGGGAAUAAAAAAAUGAAGGUACCCUAGGAAUAAGCAUCGGCUAACUCCGUGCCAGCAGCCGCGGUAAUACGGAGGAUGCAAGCGUUAUCCGGAAUUAUUGGGCGUAAAGAGUCCGUAGGUGGAAGUUCAAGUCUGUCGUUAAAGAAUGGAGCUUAACUCCAUAAAGGCGGUGGAAACUGAGCAACUAGAGUGCGGUAGGGGUAACGGGAAUUCCCAGUGUAGCGGUGAAAUGCGUAGAUAUUGGGAAGAACAUCGGUGGCGAAAGCGCGUUACUGGGCCGAAACUGACACUGAGGGACGAAAGCUAGGGUAGCGAAAGGGAUUAGAUACCCCUGUAGUCCUAGCCGUAAACGAUGGAUACUAGCGUAGCA
RNAcentral lists this ribosomal RNA (754 nucleotides) under uncultured cyanobacterium. RNAcentral describes it as "bacterial SSU rRNA". It matches the Rfam family "Bacterial small subunit ribosomal RNA", at positions 28 to 826 of the family's 1533-position model. Lineage: Bacteria; Bacillati; Cyanobacteriota. The record is from RNAcentral.